RNAcentral lists this ribosomal RNA (2058 nucleotides) under Escherichia coli. Its description in RNAcentral is "partial 23S ribosomal RNA". It matches the Rfam family "Bacterial large subunit ribosomal RNA", at positions 418 to 2461 of the family's 2925-position model. The record is from RNAcentral. Lineage: Bacteria; Pseudomonadati; Pseudomonadota; Gammaproteobacteria; Enterobacterales; Enterobacteriaceae.
CGGGACACGUGGUAUCCUGUCUGAAUAUGGGGGGACCAUCCUCCAAGGCUAAAUACUCCUGACUGACCGAUAGUGAACCAGUACCGUGAGGGAAAGGCGAAAAGAACCCCGGCGAGGGGAGUGAAAAAGAACCUGAAACCGUGUACGUACAAGCAGUGGGAGCACGCUUAGGCGUGUGACUGCGUACCUUUUGUAUAAUGGGUCAGCGACUUAUAUUCUGUAGCAAGGUUAACCGAAUAGGGGAGCCGAAGGGAAACCGAGUCUUAACUGGGCGUUAAGUUGCAGGGUAUAGACCCGAAACCCGGUGAUCUAGCCAUGGGCAGGUUGAAGGUUGGGUAACACUAACUGGAGGACCGAACCGACUAAUGUUGAAAAAUUAGCGGAUGACUUGUGGCUGGGGGUGAAAGGCCAAUCAAACCGGGAGAUAGCUGGUUCUCCCCGAAAGCUAUUUAGGUAGCGCCUCGUGAAUUCAUCUCCGGGGGUAGAGCACUGUUUCGGCAAGGGGGUCAUCCCGACUUACCAACCCGAUGCAAACUGCGAAUACCGGAGAAUGUUAUCACGGGAGACACACGGCGGGUGCUAACGUCCGUCGUGAAGAGGGAAACAACCCAGACCGCCAGCUAAGGUCCCAAAGUCAUGGUUAAGUGGGAAACGAUGUGGGAAGGCCCAGACAGCCAGGAUGUUGGCUUAGAAGCAGCCAUCAUUUAAAGAAAGCGUAAUAGCUCACUGGUCGAGUCGGCCUGCGCGGAAGAUGUAACGGGGCUAAACCAUGCACCGAAGCUGCGGCAGCGACGCUGAUGCGUUGUUGGGUAGGGGAGCGUUCUGUAAGCCUGUGAAGGUGUGCUGUGAGGCAUGCUGGAGGUAUCAGAAGUGCGAAUGCUGACAUAAGUAACGAUAAAGCGGGUGAAAAGCCCGCUCGCCGGAAGACCAAGGGUUCCUGUCCAACGUUAAUCGGGGCAGGGUGAGUCGACCCCUAAGGCGAGGCCGAAAGGCGUAGUCGAUGGGAAACAGGUUAAUAUUCCUGUACUUGGUGUUACUGCGAAGGGGGGACGGAGAAGGCUAUGUUGGCCGGGCGACGGUUGUCCCGGUUUAAGCGUGUAGGCUGGUUUUCCAGGCAAAUCCGGAAAAUCAAGGCUGAGGCGUGAUGACGAGGCACUACGGUGCUGAAGCAACAAAUGCCCUGCUUCCAGGAAAAGCCUCUAAGCAUCAGGUAACAUCAAAUCGUACCCCAAACCGACACAGGUGGUCAGGUAGAGAAUACCAAGGCGCUUGAGAGAACUCGGGUGAAGGAACUAGGCAAAAUGGUGCCGUAACUUCGGGAGAAGGCACGCUGAUAUGUAGGUGAAGCGACUUGCUCGUGGAGCUGAAAUCAGUCGAAGAUACCAGCUGGCUGCAACUGUUUAUUAAAAACACAGCACUGUGCAAACACGAAAGUGGACGUAUACGGUGUGACGCCUGCCCGGUGCCGGAAGGUUAAUUGAUGGGGUCAGCGCAAGCGAAGCUCUUGAUCGAAGCCCCGGUAAACGGCGGCCGUAACUAUAACGGUCCUAAGGUAGCGAAAUUCCUUGUCGGGUAAGUUCCGACCUGCACGAAUGGCGUAAUGAUGGCCAGGCUGUCUCCACCCGAGACUCAGUGAAAUUGAACUCGCUGUGAAGAUGCAGUGUACCCGCGGCAAGACGGAAAGACCCCGUGAACCUUUACUAUAGCUUGACACUGAACAUUGAGCCUUGAUGUGUAGGAUAGGUGGGAGGCUUUGAAGUGUGGACGCCAGUCUGCAUGGAGCCGGCCUUGAAAUACCACCCUUUAAUGUUUGAUGUUCUAACGUUGACCCGUGAUCCGGGUUGCGGACAGUGUCUGGUGGGUAGUUUGACUGGGGCGGUCUCCUCCUAAAGAGUAACGGAGGAGCACGAAGGUUGGCUAAUCCUGGUCGGACAUCAGGAGGUUAGUGCAAUGGCAUAAGCCAGCUUGACUGCGAGCGUGACGGCGCGAGCAGGUGCGAAAGCAGGUCAUAGUGAUCCGGUGGUUCUGAAUGGAAGGGCCAUCGCUCAACGGAUAAAA